This 397-nucleotide ribosomal RNA is filed under the name uncultured bacterium. Its description in RNAcentral is "partial 16S ribosomal RNA". It matches the Rfam family "Bacterial small subunit ribosomal RNA", at positions 523 to 918 of the family's 1533-position model. The record is from RNAcentral.
AUACGUAGGUGGCAAGCGUUAUCCGGAUUUACUGGGUGUAAAGGGUGCGUAGGCGGGACUGCAAGUCAGAUGUGAAAUGCCGGGGCUCAACCCCGGAGCUGCAUUUGAAACUGUGGUUCUUGAGUGAGGUAGAGGUAAGCGGAAUUCCUAGUGUAGCGGUGAAAUGCGUAGAUAUUAGGAGGAACAUCGGUGGCGAAGGCGGCUUACUGGGCCUUUACUGACGCUGAGGCACGAAAGCGUGGGGAGCAAACAGGAUUAGAUACCCUGGUAGUCCACGCUGUAAACGAUGAAUACUAGGUGUAGGGGGUAUCGACUCCCUCUGUGCCGCAGUUAACACAAUAAGUAUUCCGCCUGGGGAGUACGGCCGCAAGGUUGAAACUCAAAUGAAUUGGCGGGG